GUGUUCCUACAUGUGGGGCCACCACGUCGGAAGAGCACCCCAGGGAGACGCUGCUGGAGAAGACUCAGCCAAGUGAGGUUCAGACACACAUGCCUACUAGCACUGUUCCCAUGGACAGUAAUGUGGUGGCCAUUAUCAUAGCUACCAUUUCUUCUUCAGUGUUCAUCGUGGCCAUUUUGGUGCUGCUGCUGCUUUUGUACCACCGGGACCCUCUGUGCUGCCAGUUUCUGUGCUCUUGCCGUUUCUUCCAGAAUCCCAGUCAAUAUGAUUGUCCUCCUCCCUACUUCAGCAGCAACCAGCGACUGGUGGGGCCUCAGUCUGGAGCACAACACCUGGAGACAAACACCACUGAAAAUCCUGCUGUACAGGGAGACGAACUGUUCUGCGUUGGACCCCCUGGCAGUUACCAGCUCCCUCCAUGGGAGCAGCCGCGCCUGCCAAGCUAUGAGAGCGUGCGGAAGAAGGACCGGCAACGGGAGAUCCACCAGAUGAUUGCUGAAAGGUUUGGCUUGUGGGCUGAAGUCCCCCAAGAAUUACCGCCUCCCUAUGAGCAAGCCCUGCAGUAUCCUGCAGCCUUAUCAGGAACGGAAGUGGGUUCAGCCUUGUCAGCCGGACAGAGCUUGCCAGAUAUGCUCCAGGCUUCACCCACGUACCCAACUCAAAGAAACACCUCGGUAUAG
Molecule: long non-coding RNA, 680 nt
Filed under: Pogona vitticeps (central bearded dragon)
Lineage: Eukaryota; Metazoa; Chordata; Lepidosauria; Squamata; Agamidae
Description: lncRNA (ENSPVIG00000007548.1)
Source: RNAcentral